Molecule: unclassified non-coding RNA, 335 nt
Filed under: soil metagenome
Description: partial contains 5.8S ribosomal RNA, internal transcribed spacer 2, and large subunit ribosomal RNA
Rfam family: 5.8S ribosomal RNA (bases 1-119)
Source: RNAcentral
GAUGAAAACGCAGCGAAAUGCGAUAAGUAAUGUGAAUUGCAGAAUUCAGUGAAUCAUCGAAUCUUUGAACGCACAUUGCGCCCGCCAGUAUUCUGGCGGGCAUGCCUGUUCGAGCGUCAUUUCAACCAUCAAGCCCCCGGCUUGUGUUGGGGACCUGCGGCUGCCGCAGGCCCUGAAAAGCAGUGGCGGGCUCGCUGUCACACCGAGCGUAGUAGAUUUCAUCUCGCUCAGGGCGUGCUGCGGGUUCCGGCCGUUAAACCACCUUCAUAACCCAAGGUUGACCUCGGAUCAGGUAGGAAGACCCGCUGAACUUAAGCAUAUCAAUAAGCGGAGGA